GAUGAACGCUAGCGGGAGGCUUAACACAUGCAAGUCGAGGGGCAGCAUAGGGUAGCAAUACUCUGAUGGCGACCGGCAGACGGGUGAGUAACGCGUAUGUAACCUACCCUGUACAGGGGGAUAACCCGGAGAAAUUCGGACUAAUAUCCCAUGGAAAUAUUGAGAGGCAUCUUUUGAUAUUUAAAGUUCCGGCGGUACGGGAUGGGCAUGCGUAACAUUAGCUAGUUGGUAAGGUAACGGCUUACCAAGGCUUUGAUGUUUAGGGGUCCUGAGAGGGUGAUCCCCCACACUGGUACUGAGACACGGACCAGACUCCUACGGGAGGCAGCAGUGAGGAAUAUUGGUCAAUGGGCGCAAGCCUGAACCAGCCAUCCCGCGUGCAGGAAGACGGCGCUAUGCGUUGUAAACUGCUUUUCCAGGGGGAGAAACUUGCGUACGUGAUACGCAAUUGACGGUACCCUGGGAAUAAGCAUCGGCUAACUCCGUG
RNAcentral lists this ribosomal RNA (487 nucleotides) under uncultured bacterium. RNAcentral's name for it is "bacterial SSU rRNA". It matches the Rfam family "Bacterial small subunit ribosomal RNA", at positions 28 to 507 of the family's 1533-position model. The record is from RNAcentral.